UGGGGAAUAUUGCACAAUGGGCGCAAGCCUGAUGCAGCCAUGCCGCGUGUGUGAAGAAGGCCUUCGGGUUGUAAAGCACUUUCAGCGGGGAGGAAGGCGUUAAGGUUAAUAACCUUGGCGAUUGACGUUACCCGCAGAAGAAGCACCGGCUAACUCCGUGCCAGCAGCCGCGGUAAUACGGAGGGUGCAAGCGUUAAUCGGAAUUACUGGGCGUAAAGCGCACGCAGGCGGUUUGUUAAGUCAGAUGUGAAAUCCUCGGGCUCAACCUGGGAACUGCAUCGGAUACUGGCAAGCUUGAGUCUCGUAGAGGGGGGUAGAAUUCCAGGUGUAGCGGUGAAAGGCGUAGAGAUCUGGAGGAAUACCGGUGGCGAAGGCGGCCCCCUGGACGAAGACUGACGCUCAGGUGCGAAAGCGUGGGGAGCAAACAGG
RNAcentral lists this ribosomal RNA (429 nucleotides) under Chloroflexota bacterium. RNAcentral describes it as "Chloroflexi bacterium partial 16S ribosomal RNA". It matches the Rfam family "Bacterial small subunit ribosomal RNA", at positions 355 to 776 of the family's 1533-position model. The record is from RNAcentral. Lineage: Bacteria; Bacillati; Chloroflexota.